CUCGUAGGUGGCCAACUAAGUCAGACGUGAAAUCCCUCGGCUUAACCGGGGAACUGCAUCUGAUACUGGAUGGCUUGAGAUUGGGAGAGGGAUGCGGAAUUCCAGGUGUAGCGGUGAAAUGCGUAGAUAUCUGGAGGAACACCGGUGGCGAAGGCGGCAUCCUGGACCAACACUGACACUGAGGAGACGAAAGCCAAGGGGAGCAAACG
This 209-nucleotide ribosomal RNA is filed under the name uncultured bacterium. Its description in RNAcentral is "partial 16S ribosomal RNA". It matches the Rfam family "Bacterial small subunit ribosomal RNA", at positions 568 to 774 of the family's 1533-position model. The record is from RNAcentral.